UUAAGUUAGAAAGGGCGCACGGUGGAUGCCUUGGNCACUAGGAGCCGAUGAAGGACGGGACUAACACCGAUAUGCUUCGGGGAGCUGUAAGUAAGCUUUGAUCCGGAGAUUUCCGAAUGGGGAAACCCACUGUUCGUAAUGGAACAGUAUCUUUACCUGAAUACAUAGGGUACUGAAGGCAGACCCGGGGAACUGAAACAUCUAAGUACCCGGAGGAAGAGAAAGCAAAUGCGAUUUCCUGAGUAGCGGCGAGCGAAACGGAAUUAGCCCAAACCAAGAGGCUUGCCUCUUGGGGUUGUAGGACACUCAACAUGGAGUUACAAAGGAACGGGGUAAAUGAAGUGAUCUGGAAAGGUCCGUCAAAGAAGGUAAAAACCCUGUAGUUGAAACUUCGUUCCCUCCUGAGUGGAUCCUGAGUACGGCGGGACACGAGAAAUCCCGUCGGAAGCAGGGAGGACCAUCUCCCAAGGCUAAAUACUCCCUAGUGACCGAUAGUGAACCAGUACCGUGAGGGAAAGGUGAAAAGCACCCCGGAAGGGGAGUGAAAUAGAUCCUGAAACCGUGUGCCUACAAGUAGUCAAAGCCCGUUAAUGGGUAAUGGCGUGCCUUUUGUAGAAUGAACCGGCGAGUUACGAUUUCAUGCGAGGUUAAGUUGAUAAGACGGAGCCGCAGCGAAAGCGAGUCUGAAUAGGGCGAAUGAGUAUGAGGUCGUAGACCCGAAACCAGGUGAUCUACCCAUGUCCAGGGUGAAGUUCAGGUAACACUGAAUGGAGGCCCGAACCCACGCACGUUGAAAAGUGCGGGGAUGAGGUGUGGGUAGCGGAGAAAUUCCAAUCGAACCUGGAGAUAGCUGGUUCUCUCCGAAAUAGCUUUAGGGCUAGCCUCAAGAUGAGAGUAUUGGAGGUAGAGCACUGAUUGGACUAGGGGCCCCCAACGGGUUACCGAAUUCAGUCAAACUCCGAAUGCCAAAUACUUAUUCUUGGGAGUCAGACUGCGAGUGAUAAGAUCCGUAGUCGAAAGGGAAACAGCCCAGACCACCAGCUAAGGUCCCAAAGUAUACGUUAAGUGGAAAAGGAUGUGGAGUUGCUUAGACAACCAGGAUGUUGGCUUAGAAGCAGCCACCAUUUAAAGAGUGCGUAAUAGCUCACUGGUCGAGUGACUCCGCGCCGAAAAUGUACCGGGGCUAAACGUAUCACCGAAGCUGUGGAUUGACACCNAUUUAGGUGUCGAUGGUAGGAGAGCGUUCUAAGGGCGUUGAAGUCAGACCGGAAGGACUGGUGGAGCGCUUAGANGUAUGGUGUCGAUGGUAGGAGAGCGUUCUAAGGGCGUUGAAGUCAGACCGGAAGGACUGGUGGAGCGCUUAGANNNNNNAGUGAGAAUGCCGGUAUGAGUAGCGAAAGAAGGGUGAGAAUCCCUUCCACCGAAUGCCUAAGGUUUCCUGAGGAAGGCUCGUCCGCUCAGGGUUAGUCGGGACCUAAGCCGAGGCCGAAAGGCGUAGGCGAUGGACAACAGGUUGAUAUUCCUGUACCACCUAUACAUCGUUUGAACGAUGGGGGGACGCAGAAGGAUAGGGUAAGCGCGCUGUUGGAUAUGCGCGUCCAAGCAGUUAGGCCGGAAACGAGGCAAAUCCCGUUUCCAUUAAGGCGGAGCUGUGAUGGCGAGGGAAAUAUAGUACCGAAGUUCCUGAUUCCACGCUGCCAAGAAAAGCCUCUAGUGAGAUGUAAGGUGCCCGUACCGCAAACCGACACAGGUAGGCGAGGAGAGAAUCCUAAGGUGUGCGAGAGAACUCUCGUUAAGGAACUCGGCAAAAUGACCCCGUAACUUCGGGAGAAGGGGUGCUUUUUAGGGUGAAUAGCCCGGAAAAGCCGCAGUGAAUAGGCCCAGGCGACUGUUUAGCAAAAACACAGGUCUCUGCGAAGCCGCAAGGCGAAGUAUAGGGGCUGACACCUGCCCGGUGCUGGAAGGUUAAGGGGAGAGGUUAGCGCAAGCGAAGCUUUGAACCGAAGCCCCAGUAAACGGCGGCCGUAACUAUAACGGUCCUAAGGUAGCGAAAUUCCUUGUCGGGUAAGUUCCGACCCGCACGAAAGGUGUAACGAUCUGGGCACUGUCUCAACGAGAGACUCGGUGAAAUUAUAGUACCUGUGAAGAUGCAGGUUACCCGCGACAGGACGGAAAGACCCCGUGGAGCUUUACUGCAGCCUGAUAUUGAAUUUUGGUACAGCUUGUACAGGAUAGGUAGGAGCCUGAGAAGCCGGAGCGCUAGCUUCGGUGGAGGCGUUGGUGGGAUACUACCCUGGCUGUAUUGAAAUUCUAACCCGCGCCCCUUAUCGGGGUGGGAGACAGUGUCAGGUGGGCAGUUUGACUGGGGCGGUCGCCUCCUAAAGAGUAACGGAGGCGCCCAAAGGUUCCCUCAGAAUGGUUGGAAAUCAUUCGUAGAGUGUAAAGGCACAAGGGAGCUUGACUGCGAGACCUACAAGUCGAGCAGGGACGAAAGUCGGGCUUAGUGAUCCGGUGGUUCCGCAUGGAAGGGCCAUCGCUCAACGGAUAAAAGCUACCCCGGGGAUAACAGGCUUAUCUCCCCCAAGAGUCCACAUCGACGGGGAGGUUUGGCACCUCGAUGUCGGCUCAUCGCAUCCUGGGGCUGUAGUCGGUCCCAAGGGUUGGGCUGUUCGCCCAUUAAAGCGGUACGCGAGCUGGGUUCAGAACGUCGUGAGACAGUUCGGUCCCUAUCCGUCGCGGGCGCAGGAAAUUUGAGAGGAGCUGUCCUUAGUACGAGAGGACCGGGAUGGACGCACCGCUGGUGUACCAGUUGUCUUGCCAAAGGCAUAGCUGGGUAGCUACGUGCGGACGGGAUAAGUGCUGAAAGCAUCUAAGCAUGAAGCCCCCCUCAAGAUGAGAUUUCCCAUGGCGCAAGCUAGUAAGAUCCCUGAAAGAUGAUCAGGUUGAUAGGUCAGAGGUGGAAGCGUGGCGACAUGUGGAGCUGACUGAUACUAAUAGAUCGAGGACUUAACCAA
Molecule: ribosomal RNA, 3014 nt
Filed under: Peribacillus muralis
Lineage: Bacteria; Bacillati; Bacillota; Bacilli; Caryophanales; Bacillaceae
Description: bacterial LSU rRNA
Rfam family: Bacterial large subunit ribosomal RNA
Source: RNAcentral